Hemicordylus capensis (graceful crag lizard) is the source of this 331-nucleotide long non-coding RNA. RefSeq lists it as uncharacterized. The transcript has 3 exons. The record is from RefSeq and is a predicted model, not a curated record. Lineage: Eukaryota; Metazoa; Chordata; Lepidosauria; Squamata; Cordylidae.
GCCAGGAAGGAGGAGGCAACCAGAGAGGCCUCCACUGUUCUCUGCAGCAGAAGACCCCCUGCUGCCAGGUGAGGGGAGUCACUCCCUGUCCCUCGCCACUACCACACAGCAAUAGUAAUGAUAUUUGGAAGAUGGAGUUCUUCACCUUUAAGCCUACUAGCACAGACGGAGUGCAGCCUGCUUGUCGGCUGCCAAGUUCCUGCUGGCUGGUUGCCAGCCUCCCAGACUGCUGAGUCGAUCCACCUGCUGCCUGUCCUGGGAGCUGCUCGUGAGAGGUGUGGCUUCUGGGGCUUGCAAGCUUAAAAGCAAGGAGGCUCGCCAAAGGUGUAAC